AAAAACAUCGAGUUUGAGCCAAGUUACGACGGUUUAAAGUUGGUGGCCUAGAAAACCAAAUUUUGGAUUUCUAGGCCA
This is a non-coding RNA of Caenorhabditis elegans, 78 nucleotides long. Lineage: Eukaryota; Metazoa; Nematoda; Chromadorea; Rhabditida; Rhabditidae. The record is from Ensembl.